This 579-nucleotide ribosomal RNA is filed under the name Salmonella enterica subsp. enterica serovar Infantis. RNAcentral describes it as "bacterial SSU rRNA". It matches the Rfam family "Bacterial small subunit ribosomal RNA", at positions 1 to 569 of the family's 1533-position model. Lineage: Bacteria; Pseudomonadati; Pseudomonadota; Gammaproteobacteria; Enterobacterales; Enterobacteriaceae. The record is from RNAcentral. RNAcentral also lists the same sequence under 1 other name.
AAAUUGAAGAGUUUGAUCAUGGCUCAGAUUGAACGCUGGCGGCAGGCCUAACACAUGCAAGUCGAACGGUAACAGGAAGCAGCUUGCUGCUUCGCUGACGAGUGGCGGACGGGUGAGUAAUGUCUGGGAAACUGCCUGAUGGAGGGGGAUAACUACUGGAAACGGUGGCUAAUACCGCAUAACGUCGCAAGACCAAAGAGGGGGACCUUCGGGCCUCUUGCCAUCAGAUGUGCCCAGAUGGGAUUAGCUUGUUGGUGAGGUAACGGCUCACCAAGGCGACGAUCCCUAGCUGGUCUGAGAGGAUGACCAGCCACACUGGAACUGAGACACGGUCCAGACUCCUACGGGAGGCAGCAGUGGGGAAUAUUGCACAAUGGGCGCAAGCCUGAUGCAGCCAUGCCGCGUGUAUGAAGAAGGCCUUCGGGUUGUAAAGUACUUUCAGCGGGGAGGAAGGUGUUGCGGUUAAUAACCGCAGCAAUUGACGUUACCCGCAGAAGAAGCACCGGCUAACUCCGUGCCAGCAGCCGCGGUAAUACGGAGGGUGCAAGCGUUAAUCGGAAUUACUGGGCGUAAAGCGCA